RNAcentral lists this non-coding RNA (148 nucleotides) under Gorilla gorilla gorilla (western lowland gorilla). The record is from Rfam by way of RNAcentral. Lineage: Eukaryota; Metazoa; Chordata; Mammalia; Primates; Hominidae.
GCCAGGUGUGGUGGUGCACACUUGUUAUCCCAGCUACCUGGGAGGCUGAGGUGGAAGAAUCACUUGAGCCCAGGGGGUGGAGGUUGCAGUGAGCCAAGAUUGUGCCACUGCACUCUAGCCUGGGCGACAGAGCAAGACUCCACCUCAA